AGCGAACGCUGGCGGCAGGCCUAACACAUGCAAGUCGAACGGAUCCUUCGGGAUUAGUGGCGGACGGGUGAGUAACACGUGGGAACGUGCCCUUUGGUUCGGAACAACUCAGGGAAACUUGAGCUAAUACCGGAUGUUCCCUUCGGGGGAAAGAUUUAUCGCCAUUGGAGCGGCCCGCGUAGGAUUAGCUAGUUGGUGGGGUAAAGGCCCACCAAGGCUACGAUCCUUAGCUGGUCUGAGAGGAUGAUCAGCCACAUUGGGACUGAGACACGGCCCAAACUCCUACGGGAGGCAGCAGUGGGGAAUCUUGCGCAAUGGGCGAAAGCCUGACGCAGCCAUGCCGCGUGAAUGAUGAAGGUCUUAGGAUUGUAAAAUUCUUUCACCGGGGACGAUAAUGACGGUACCCGGAGAAGAAGCCCCGGCUAACUUCGUGCCAGCCGCCGCGGUAA
This 449-nucleotide ribosomal RNA is filed under the name uncultured bacterium. RNAcentral describes it as "partial 16S ribosomal RNA". It matches the Rfam family "Bacterial small subunit ribosomal RNA", at positions 29 to 523 of the family's 1533-position model. The record is from RNAcentral.